UUAGGAAUAUUGGACAAUGGGCGCAAGCCUGAUCCAGCCAUGCCGCGUGAGUGAUGAAGGCCUUCGGGUUGUAAAACUCUUUAGCCGAUGAUUAUAAUGACUGUAGUCGGAAAAUAAGCCCCGGCUAACUUCGUGCCAGCAGCCGCGGUAAUACGAAGGGGGCGAGCGUUAUUCGGAAUCACUGGGCGUAAAGCGUGCGUAGGCGGUUUAGUAAGUUAGGAGUGAAAGCCCAGGGCUUAACCUUGGAAUUGCUCUUAAAACUACUAGACUUGAAUCUCGGAGAGGAUAGCGGAAUUUCCAGUGUAGCAGUGAAAUGCGUAGAUAUUGGAAGGAACACCAGUGGCGUAAGCGGCUAUCUGGACGAGUAUUGACGCUGAGGCACGAAAGCGUGGGGAUCAAACAGGAUUAGAUACCCUGGUAGUCCACGCCGUAAACGAUGUGUGCUUGUCGCUGGGGAGUUCACUCUUCGGUGACGCAGCUAACGCGUUAAGCACACCGCCUGGGGAAGUACGGCCGCAAGGUUAAAACUCAAAGGAAUUGACGGGGUCAUAGCUGUUUCCUG
Molecule: ribosomal RNA, 562 nt
Filed under: uncultured bacterium
Lineage: Bacteria
Description: partial 16S ribosomal RNA
Rfam family: Bacterial small subunit ribosomal RNA
Source: RNAcentral